GGAAAGUUAAUGAAGGUGAAGGAAGGGGAUGAAGUGGAAUGUAAAUGAUAUGAAAGUUAUUUUACCUUACUAAGGCCUUUGCAAUGAAAUGCUCCACAUUUAAAAACUCGGCAUUCCAUCUUUAACCCCUAUUUGAGGGUUAAGAAAAAUGGAUAUUUAGAAGUUAAUGAAUGUAAAUAUUUAACUUCCAUUUACACCCUAAAAUAAACUCCCAAACAAGAUUAAAGGUUAAUUUCUAUUUACAUUCCACCCUUAACCUCCUCUAACCUACUCACAUGCAUAUUGU
RNAcentral lists this unclassified non-coding RNA (286 nucleotides) under Hevea brasiliensis (rubber tree). The record is from RNAcentral. Lineage: Eukaryota; Viridiplantae; Streptophyta; Magnoliopsida; Malpighiales; Euphorbiaceae.